This 162-nucleotide ribosomal RNA is filed under the name Myxotrichaceae sp. Its description in RNAcentral is "partial large subunit ribosomal RNA". It matches the Rfam family "Eukaryotic large subunit ribosomal RNA", at positions 106 to 261 of the family's 3401-position model. Lineage: Eukaryota; Fungi; Ascomycota; Leotiomycetes; Myxotrichaceae. The record is from RNAcentral.
AGCUCAAAUUUAAAAUCUGGCAGUCUUUUUGGCUGUCCGAGUUGUAAUUUGGAGAAGAUGCUUCGGGUGUGGCCCCGGUCUAAGUUCCUUGGAACAGGACGUCACAGAGGGUGAGAAUCCCGUACGUGCCCGGUGGCCGCGCCCGUGUGAAGCUCUUUCGAC